GAAGAAUCGUUGACCAAGCUCCCUGCAGCCCAGCCACCCAUCCAGCUAUGCCUUCUCUUAAUGUAUACAAAUCUAAUAAACUAAAUCAAAACUGUAUGUUUACCCUCUCAAAAGCCACUAAUUAAACCCUUAACCCAAAGCUACAUACCCACAUGUAACUCAAAACCAUCCUUAAUUUUCUCUUCCCCUUGGCUGCUGGAAACCAAAUCUCUCCAAUGCUUAGACUCCUCACACUUGAACUACUCCUUGCCUUUCUCGUCCUAAUUUUCUCUCACCCUUUAACUAAUAAUGCUGCCACAGCCACCGUCACCGCCAUUACUCAACAAUUCAAAGAAGCUCCACAGUUCUAUAACUCCCCAGAUUGUCCUUCGUUUGAUCAAGAUGAGAUUGAUUCAGAAUCAGACGGUGAUAGCACCAUCUUUUGCUCCGAUAAAGCAGUCCACGUUGCAAUGACUCUUGAUGCAGCAUAUAUACGAGGCUCCAUGGCAGCAGUUCUCUCUGUUCUUCAACACUCUUCUUGUCCCCAAAAUAUUGCUUUCCAUUUCGUAGCUUCCGCCUCUGCCAACUCCUCUCUCCUACGCAACACCAUCUCCUCCUCCUUCCCUUAUCUCAAAUUCCGAGUUUACACAUUCGAUGACGCGUCCGUGUCAAGACUCAUCUCCACGUCUAUCCGUUCUGCUCUAGAUUGCCCGCUAAAUUAUGCUCGAAGCUACUUGGCCAAUAUCCUCCCUAUAUGCGUUCGCCGAGUCGUCUACCUUGACUCAGACCUCGUCCUCGUCGAUGACAUUGCCAAGCUAGCCGCUACUCCACUGGGUGAAAAGUCUAUUCUUGCAGCUCCUGAGUAUUGCAAUGCGAAUUUCACUUCUUAUUUCACACCAACUUUCUGGUCUAACCCUUCUCUAUCGCUCACAUUUGCGGAUAGAAAAGCUUGUUACUUUAAUACUGGAGUUAUGGUCAUCGAUCUCAAUCGAUGGAGGGCAGGGGACUACACUUCCAAGAUUGAGGAGUGGAUGGAACUGCAGAAGAGAAUGAGAAUAUACGAACUGGGUUCGUUGCCGCCAUUCUUGUUGGUUUUUGCAGGGAAUAUUGUGCCUGUUGAUCACCGUUGGAACCAGCACGGGCUCGGUGGUGAUAAUUUUAGAGGUCUCUGCAGGGAUUUACAUCCGGGUCCGGUUAGUCUCUUGCACUGGAGCGGUAAAGGGAAGCCAUGGGCUAGACUCGACGCUAAUCGACCAUGUCCUUUGGAUGCUCUGUGGGCUCCAUACGAUCUCUUGCAGACUCCAUUUGCGUUGGAUUCUUGAAGACGAAGAAACCUUCGCUCGAGUACAUAAAUAUAAAAAAGCAUAUAUAUAUAUAUAUAUGUGCUCUUGCUGGAACCUGCUGAUAGGAAUAACACAGAGAGAGGCAGGGAUCUGAAAGAGAUCAAGAUCAUAUACAGAUAUGUUACAGUUUCGAAGUUUAAUUAGGUAUGUUGGUAGUGUAGAUGAUUAUACAGGUGUUCAUAUACAUCUAUCAAGAAUUCAUUUUUCUGUUAAAAUCAUCAUCACUCGUAUGGUAGAGAUCAGAAGAAAGAAGUUUACUACUUAUCAAAUAAGGAAGAAGCCAGAAACGGGAAGGGGAUUCAUGAACUUCCGCCAUAUUUGGUUAAUUAAUUGUAUCAAAAAGAACUGUUUUAGGUGGUCUCAUGAAUCAUUAUUUUGUUUAAUAAUAAUAAUAAUCAUCUAAAUAUUCUCUGAAUAUUUUCCCCUUUGCUUUUAUCAAUUAUGUUUUUUCUUCUAGUAUUUAGC
This 1787-nucleotide unclassified non-coding RNA is filed under the name Hevea brasiliensis (rubber tree). Lineage: Eukaryota; Viridiplantae; Streptophyta; Magnoliopsida; Malpighiales; Euphorbiaceae. The record is from RNAcentral.